This 462-nucleotide ribosomal RNA is filed under the name Actinomyces sp. oral taxon 180. RNAcentral describes it as "bacterial SSU rRNA". It matches the Rfam family "Bacterial small subunit ribosomal RNA", at positions 28 to 486 of the family's 1533-position model. Lineage: Bacteria; Bacillati; Actinomycetota; Actinomycetes; Actinomycetales; Actinomycetaceae. The record is from RNAcentral.
GACGAACGCUGGCGGCGUGCUUAACACAUGCAAGUCGAACGCUGAAGCUCAGCUUUUGUUGGGUGGAUGAGUGGCGAACGGGUGAGUAACACGUGAGUAACCUGCCCCCUUCUUUGGGAUAACGCCCGGAAACGGGUGCUAAUACUGGAUAUUCACUGGUCUUCGCAUGGGGGUUGGUGGAAAGGGUUUUUCUGGUGGGGGAUGGGCUCGCGGCCUAUCAGCUUGUUGGUGGGGUGAUGGCCUACCAAGGCUUUGACGGGUAGCCGGCCUGAGAGGGUGACCGGUCACAUUGGGACUGAGAUACGGCCCAGACUCCUACGGGAGGCAGCAGUGGGGAAUAUUGCACAAUGGGCGCAAGCCUGAUGCAGCGACGCCGCGUGAGGGAUGGAGGCCUUCGGGUUGUGAACCUCUUUCGCUCAUGGUCAAGCCGCAACAAUGGUUGUGGUGAGGGUAGUGGGAAAG